CUAGUCGCCGUCCGUCCACUUCCGUUUCGGUUUCGAAGAUCGAGGAUUACGCUGCGACAGUAGCUAACUUCGCGUCAGAUCUGCAAGUUCCCGAAAAACCGAAGAGCCGGUGUAGCACAUAAGAGCCAGUGACAGUAAACUGGAAAACAUUGCACAGCCAGAUACAUAGUGCUUACUUACCUGGACCGCGCAGCCGCUUUAGGUCUUGGUGAACCAAGCGGAGAAGCAACCGGUGAAGCGACCAAUCGGCGCUCCUUAUCGCUGACGCGGCGUGCAAGCGACACGAUGUAGGUGUGUGUGUGCGCCGAUAUACAUACACACGGGCAAAGGUAUCGGCGUGUCGUAUCGGUUGUGUUCAGCUAUCCGCACACGGUGGGAUUGCGGCUUUUGCCGCGCGAUUCGAUCGAGGGAACACCGCGAACUUCAGCUCGCGAGCGUAGAGAGAUCGCGGUUUCUUCGGUACGCUUCGUUUUACUUCGGUUACCCUCGGCUCGCUUUUGCCUCACACUAGCGGGGGCGUGACUCCACAUACCACCAGGAAGAGUGGCCCUGUCGCGAUUUCCCAUAAAUGGCGUACCUUCAGGAGGAAACGAGUAUCCGGUUAUCCGUUCUAGUAUACGAAGAUAACCUGUUACGUCAACUUUAGCAAAUGCAGUUCCUCCGUUAUGUGUCUUCAGGUCUAAAAUGUUCACUUCUUAUAUAGGUAUACGGUAGAAAAUAUAUACGACACGACAAAUCUAAGUGAAAGUAUUGCAAAAUCCAA
Long non-coding RNA from Bombus pascuorum, 763 nucleotides. RefSeq lists it as uncharacterized. The record is from RefSeq and is a predicted model, not a curated record. NCBI's taxonomy places the organism in Eukaryota, Metazoa, Arthropoda, Insecta, Hymenoptera, Apidae. The transcript is spliced from 2 exons.